RNAcentral lists this ribosomal RNA (460 nucleotides) under uncultured bacterium. Its description in RNAcentral is "partial 16S ribosomal RNA". It matches the Rfam family "Bacterial small subunit ribosomal RNA", at positions 338 to 795 of the family's 1533-position model. The record is from RNAcentral.
CCUACGGGUGGCAGCAGUGAGGAAUAUUGGUCAAUGGACGAGAGUCUGAACCAGCGAAGUAGCGUGAAGGAUGACUGCCCUAUGGGUUGUAAACUUCUUUUAUAUGGGAAUAAAAUGUUCCACGUGUGGGAUUUUGUAUGUACCAUAUGAAUAAGGAUCGGCUAACUCCGUGCCAGCAGCCGCGGUAAUACGGAGUAUCCGAGCGUUAUCCGGAUUUAUUGGGUUUAAAGGGAGCGUAGGUGGAUUGUUAAGUCAGUUGUGAAAGUUUGCGGCUCAACCGUAAAAUUGCAGUUGAAACUGGCAGUCUUGAGUACAGUAGAGGUGGGCGGAAUUCGUGGUGUAGCGGUGAAAUGCUUAGAUAUCACGAAGAACUCCGAUUGCGAAGGCAGUUCACUGGACUGCAACUGACACUGAGGCUCGAAAGUGUGGGUAUCAAACAGGAUUAGAUACCCUUGUAGUC